UCAAAUUAGUACCCUGUGGUUUUUUAAACUAUAGGAUACUAAAGUGAUAAAGUGUGAAACCACAGGAUACUAAAGUAAUAAAGUACAAAACCACAGGGUACUAAUUUGAUACACUUUAAACCACAGGGUACUAAAGUGAUAAAGUGAGAAACCACAUGGUACUAACUUGAUACACUUUAAACCAUAGGGUACUAAAAUGAAAAAGUAUGAAACCACAGAGGGGGUUUUUGAAGUUUUUCCAAAUAAUAAUAAUAAUAAUGGAUGAAUGGAAGGUUGAAGUUGUGAGGUGUGGUGAUA
This 297-nucleotide long non-coding RNA is filed under the name Ananas comosus (pineapple). RNAcentral describes it as "long non-coding RNA (ACOM_LNC040151)". Lineage: Eukaryota; Viridiplantae; Streptophyta; Magnoliopsida; Poales; Bromeliaceae. The record is from RNAcentral.